Molecule: ribosomal RNA, 221 nt
Filed under: uncultured bacterium
Lineage: Bacteria
Description: partial 16S ribosomal RNA
Rfam family: Bacterial small subunit ribosomal RNA
Source: RNAcentral
GGUUUAAUUCGAUGAUACGCGAGGAACCUUACCCGGGCUUGAACUGCCAGUGACUCAUGCAGAGACGCAUGUUUCUUCGGACACUGGCGGAGGUGCUGCAUGGUUGUCGUCAGCUCGUGCCGUGAGGUGUCGGCUUAAGUGCCAUAACGAGCGCAACCCUUCUCCUGUUUGCCAUCGGGUCAUGCCGGGCACUCCAGGGACACUGCCAUCGUAAGAUGUGA